CGCUGGCGGCGUGCCUAAUACAUGCAAGUAGAACGCUGAAGGAGGAGCUUGCUUCUCAGGAUGAGUUGCGAACGGGUGAGUAACGCGUAGGUAACCUGCCUGGUAGCGGGGGAUAACUAUUGGAAACGAUAGCUAAUACCGCAUAAGAGUAGAUGUUGCAUGACAUUUGCUUAAAAGGUGCAAUUGCAUCACUACCAGAUGGACCUGCGUUGUAUUAGCUGGUUGGUGAGGUAACGGCUCACCAAGGCAACAAUACAUAGCCGACCUGGGAGGGUGAUCGGCCACACUGGGACUGAGACACGGCCCAGACUCCUACGGGAGGCAGCAGUAGGGAAUCUUCGGCAAUGGACGGAAGUCUGACCGAGCAACGCCGCGUGAGUGAAGAAGGUUUUCGGAUCGUAAAGCUCUGUUGUAAGAGAAGAACGAGUGUGAGAGUGGAAAGUUCGCACUGUGACGGUAUCUUACCAGAAAGGGACGGCUAACUACGUGCCAGCAGCCGCGGUAAUACGUAGGUCCCGAGCGUUGUCCGGAUUUAUUGGGCGUAAGGCGAGCGCAGGCGGUUAGAUAAGUCUGAAGUUAAAGGCUGUGGCUUAACCAUAGUACGCUUUGGAAACUGUUUAACUUGAGUGCAAGAGGGGAGAGUGGAAUUCCAUGUGUAGCGGUGAAAUGCGUAGAUAUAUGGAGGAACACCGGUGGCGAAAGCGGCUCUCUGGCUUGUAACUGACGCUGAGGCUCGAAAGCGCGGGGAGCAAACAGGAUUAGAUACCCUGGUAGUCCACGCCGUAAACGAUGAGUGCUAGGUGUUAGACCCUUUCCGGGGUUUAGUGCCGUAGCUAACGCAUUAAGCACUCCGCCUGGGGAGUACGACCGCAAGGUUGAAACUCAAAGGAAUUGACGGGGGCCCGCACAAGCGGU
RNAcentral lists this ribosomal RNA (915 nucleotides) under uncultured bacterium. RNAcentral describes it as "bacterial SSU rRNA". It matches the Rfam family "Bacterial small subunit ribosomal RNA", at positions 34 to 933 of the family's 1533-position model. The record is from RNAcentral.